This is a long non-coding RNA of Bos taurus (domestic cattle), 1266 nucleotides long. The record is from Ensembl. Lineage: Eukaryota; Metazoa; Chordata; Mammalia; Artiodactyla; Bovidae.
CCCCCACCACCCACCGCCUGCAUGGGACAGCUCCUGGGAAGAUGAACUCAGAGGCGGUUUUCUGCCCUGCCAGAUGGAAACAUGCUCUCCCAUCCUGCCAGAGAAACAGAUCAGCACGCUGGGUCCACAGAGGGAACCACUGGCUGCCUUGGAAGAACGGCUAAUAGAUCAUGGAAUUCCACCGCCAAGCCAUCAUCUCCAGGCCAACGAGCUUGAAUUAUGACAGAAGGAUUAGGAGCGGGUGGAAACUUGGAGGUCACCCACGAAGACGUUUGAACAUUUGUUUUCUAUCUACAGCCUCAUUUCCCAGCUGCGUAGGACACUUAAUCCAACGUGAAGUCUUGCAUAUUAAACUUUCUCCCUGAUUACAGUCCUCCUCAGUCUUCAGUGAUCUUUGGCACCCAGUGGGCACUUUGAUUUCCCUUGAUGUGUGUGGACGUGAGGGGUUGAGGCCAAGCCUUUUGUAUGACAUCUUGUUUUCUCUCGGGGGUCAGUGCGGCAUGCUAGCUGGAAUGGCAGUGGGGGAACAUGAAGCACGCACUAUGCCUGUCAGUGAAGCAGUGGACAGGCUUGUGGAGGUAGGCCCAGGCAAUCAGGGAUGGCGGUGGUAAUUGGAAUGGUCAGGGCAAGACAGAGGCUCUUCCGGGGGAGCUGAGAUACUACAGGGUGAAGAUUCUGAGCUUCAGAUGAAGCUUCCCCAACUUCAAGCUAUUAAGUUAUUAUGGCUGAUUACAUUCCGAGGGGCCUCGGCUGGCAGGUUCUAAUUGGCAGUACUCCUGUGAUUUUAUGGGAACCAGGCUGGGAUGGGGAAGGCUGAGAUCAGCCCCGCCCAGCAGAGGCCAGAUGAGCUGGGGACUGGAAUCUUUCUUCCGACAUCGUGGCAGCUCAUCUGCAGACCUUUACAACCUUCUGUUCCCAGCAGCCCCUCAGCACAGCUGACCGGGGGUUCUUCGGGAGCUGCCUCCAUUCACAGGGCAGGAGGCCAAGGUCUCAGCACAUGCCUGAUGGUCAGUAAGUACCUGCUAAAUGAACAGAGACCUUCUGCAUCAUCACCAUCAUCAUCACACCUGAUGUUUACCGAGGACUCCUGUUCGCUAAGCAAGGGUUGCACAACAAGAGUUGGCAGACUUGCUCUGCAAAGAUCCAGCUAGUACAUAUUUUUGGUUUUGCAAGCCACAGGGUCUCAGUUACAGCCACUUGACUCUACUAUGGUGUCUAGAAAGCAACCACAGACCAUAUGUAAAUGAGUGGGUGUGGCUGUAUGCC